GCUGGGUGUGGUGGCACAUGCCUGUAGUCCCAGCUACUUAGGAGGCUGAGGUGGGAGGAUCACUUGAGCCUGGGGAGUUUGAGGCUGCAGUGAGUUGAGAUUGUGCCACUGCACUCCAGCCCGGGUGACAAAGUGAGACUCUGUCUCAU
Gorilla gorilla gorilla (western lowland gorilla) is the source of this 149-nucleotide non-coding RNA. It matches the Rfam family "Metazoan signal recognition particle RNA". Rfam says of the family: The signal recognition particle (SRP) is a universally conserved ribonucleoprotein. It is involved in the co-translational targeting of proteins to membranes. The record is from Rfam. NCBI's taxonomy places the organism in Eukaryota, Metazoa, Chordata, Mammalia, Primates, Hominidae.